UGNNUCAGGAUGAACGCUGACAGAAUGCUUAACACAUGCAAGUCGAUUCGAUUUACCUUCGGGUAUUGAGGAUGGCGGACGGGUGAGUAACGCGUAAGGAACUUGCCUCUUGGUCUGGGACAACUGUUGGAAACGACAGCUAAUACCGGAUAUUAUGAGAUUCUCGCAUGGGAAACUUAUGAAAGCUAUAUGCGCCAAGAGAGAGCCUUGCGUUCCAUUAGCUAGUUGGUGGGGUAACGGCCCACCAAGGCGACGAUGGAUAGCCGGCCUGAGAGGGUGAACGGCCACAAGGGGACUGAGACACGGCCCUUACUCCUACGGGAGGCAGCAGUGGGGAAUAUUGGACAAUGGGCCACAAGCCUGAUCCAGCAAUUCUGUGUGCACGAUGAAGGUCUUCGGAUUGUAAAGUGCUUUCAGUUGGGAAGAAGAAAGUGACGGUACCAACAGAAGAAGCGACGGCUAAAUACGUGCCAGCAGCCGCGGUAAUACGUAUGUCGCAAGCGUUAUCCGGAUUUAUUGGGCGUAAAGCGCGUCUAGGCGGAAAAAUAAGUCUGAUGUUAAAAUGCGGGGCUCAACUCCGUAUUGCGUUGGAAACUGUUUUUCUAGAGUACUGGAGAGGUGGGCGGAACUACNAGUGUAGAGGUGAAAUUCGUAGAUAUUUGUAGGAAUGCCGAUGGAGAAGUCAGCUCACUGGACAGAUACUGACGCUAAANCGCGAAAGC
RNAcentral lists this ribosomal RNA (722 nucleotides) under uncultured prokaryote. Its description in RNAcentral is "bacterial SSU rRNA". It matches the Rfam family "Bacterial small subunit ribosomal RNA", at positions 20 to 760 of the family's 1533-position model. The record is from RNAcentral.